This is a long non-coding RNA of Chenopodium quinoa (quinoa), 3340 nucleotides long. RefSeq lists it as uncharacterized. The record is from RefSeq and is a predicted model, not a curated record. The transcript has 2 exons. NCBI's taxonomy places the organism in Eukaryota, Viridiplantae, Streptophyta, Magnoliopsida, Caryophyllales, Amaranthaceae.
GAUAUACACUAGUACAAAAUUGGGCUUAAGUAACACCCAUUGGUAACACAAAAUUUUUUUUGGAUUUUUUGAUUUUUACGUAACACUUUUGUAACAUUGUCGUAUUAAGUAACAUUUUUUGGAACACAAUAAUAUUAUGUAAGACUUUACGAUAGCAUUUUAAUAUUAGGUAUCACUUAGUUGUAACAUUUAAUUUAUACUCAAUCCUUUUUAUUUUUUUCUUUAUUAAAUAUUUUUUUCUUCUAAUCUCAUUGUAGAAAAAAAUGAGUGGUACCCUUUAUUUUUUUUUAUUUUUUUAAUCUUCUCAUUCUAUUCCAUCUCCUCCUCUCAUUCUUGCUCAAAUACCCGUUCUCUCUCUGAAUGAGUUUAGAUUAUACAAUUAAUGGAGUCGCCUUCAUCACUCGUAGCGUCAUCCUCUGAAUCAUCAUCAUCGAUCAAUGCCAUCAUUUGAAUAACAAGCAACAUCAUCAAAUGAAUCGAGAGCGAAGGAUUCACAGCAUACGUGUUUCAAUUGUCACAAAUUCGCCAUCUGGGGUUUCAAUCGUCACAAAAUCACAAAACCAGUAGCCCAGUUGAACUAGUCAUCUCUGAUUUCAUCUAAUUCGCACUUCCAAUCAGGUAUUCUUCCUAAUUUGUGAAAUUAAUUAAGGCUUGUUUCUCAGUGAAAUUAAAGGAAAUUUUCUUAGCACUUCAACAAAUCAGAGAAAAAGCUUUAAAAGCCGGUCAAACAAAGAAAGAGGAGCCGAUUUCUAGGUUUGGUUUGUUUUUCUUCUUCAAUAGUUGAUUUUUUUAACUAUAUCUAUAAUAUCUGGAAUUUUUAUAUUGUUGGACUUCAUUUAUGUUUUAAUCGCAAUUAUCAGCAACAUUAGACUAUGAGUUUUUCUAUCAAGCUGUUGGAUGUCAACAUCAUAGCUUCUUAAUUUAUUGUUCAUGUUAAUUAUAUUAAAUUCUUCCAUCAUGCAAUUUGACUGCAUUUAAAUCUUGCAUGAAAUUAGUCAUAAAGUUUGAUGAGAGUAGUAAAUUGACAUUUGAGUUAAACUCUAUGAUUCUGACAGAGUAUUUUUAGAAUUUCAGGCAAGUUUUUGCAUAGGCAAUAACAAAGAGCUCAAAGGAGGUAUCAACCAAUACCAAAUUUAAAGGUUUAUAUAAUUGUCAAUCCACUAUACUCUUUACCCUUAUAUGCUUUAUAAGGCAAAUAAGUAGUUGUGAAAAUUACUACUGAUUUGAACCUUGAUUGUGUAAUGUGUGUAAAUUGGCCAUUUAAAGAGGUAUAUAAUUGGAAUGGGAGUUUUAUAUCUACGCUUGGCGGUUUGGGUGCUGGUAGUUGCUACUAUAUAAGUGACAAUUAUUUCUGAAAUUUUAUUUUUACUCAUUGCUUGUAUGUUGCUGCUUGUUAGCAACUUAGCAUAUCAAGAUUACUUGAAACAUUGGUUGUAUAGUAUAAGUCUAAACUCUAAUUACGACAAGUAUAUAAACCAUUGAAUUCUGGUUGAAAGGUACAUAGUACCUAUUCCUUUAGUUGAUUAAAUUGCAUGAUGGUGUGGAUCAGAUUCUCAUUAACCCCUUGAUAUUGUCUAAAAAGCUUACGAAAUUCCUACUUAUUUUAACUACUGCAGUAAUUCAAGAUAGACUUAUGAGUAAAAUAGUAUAUCUAAUUAAGAUCAUACUAAUAUCUACUAUUUUUUUAAAAAAAUCUCACCUUAAUUUAAUUUCUUAUGUUAUUUAGUAGAAUUUAGAGUAGUUUGCAUAAGCACAUGAGUUUGCUUAAGCACAUGAAUUUGCAUAAGUGGAGUAAGGAAAAGUGGGAGGAGGAAAUGAAUAAUGUGGUGUUGUUUGAUAAUGAUACUAGCUGAGUUGUUGCUAAUGAAGUAACCAUUCUGAGUGUUUCUGGUACGCUUUCUUUCAAUUUUCAUAUUCCCUCUUUUGAAUUUUGAGUUUAAAUUUAAGAUAUUUAUUAGUGAUUAUUGAUUUAAUUUGGGAAUUUUGAUCGAUCAGAUUAUUUAGCUUAGGAUAUAAUAGGAUUUUGAAAUGUAUAAUAGAAAAAUAUACAUGGGUUUGUUAAUGAGUGAAAAGUAUAUGCUAACAUGAAUAAUUCUGUAAUUAUAUAGUUAUUUUUAGAUGGGCGUGAAUGGAAAAGGAACGAUUAUGGAAAACUUCUAUUCUAAAUUUGUUUGACAGUACACCAGAUUUUAUGUUCAAAUAUUUUUCUAGCAUAUAACUAUUCAAAAUUUUGUAUUCAGGAUUAAUAUGUUAGUUAAGGUCUCAAUUACAUAGCUCAUAAAUUUUUGUAUAUGUUUCUCGACCUUGAUCAUGUGCAGAUGAAGCUCUAAUGGCUAUCACAUUGUAUGUAGACAUUCAUUACCCCGUAGCGGGAUAAACCAGUUUGUUCAUGAUUAGCAAUCGAUUAGCUAUUAGGGGCUACACGAAUCUAUUUUUUUCACAUUAGCGUAUGGGUUCCUGAAGUCAAAAGUUUUAUGGGCUUUCCUAGUCUGGCUUGGUUUCAAUUGUUUUUGAACUGGUGGCAAUGCUUAGAGAAGCCUCCCAUUAUCGAGAUAUUCUUCCAAGAAUAUACUAAAGUAUAUUCCCUUGAUUAUUCUGCUCCACUCACCUCUAUCUCUAUCAAUUUCUCUCUUAAAUGAUUAUUUGAGCUGAGCUCUCUAAUAAUAAUGGUGAUCAAGAACAUCGGCAGCAGGGCUCGUAAAAGACUGGCAUAAAGUAUUAUCUUGAUUAAUUAUGCUGGUCACGUGGUUCUUGAACCUGAGUCUCCUCCUUUUGGACCAGUUUCUGAGCUAUCCAUUGAUCUAUUAAGAAAUUAUAAUCAUGCUAAGGUAUAACUUAAUUUCCUUUUUUGUUGGCAGGACAUAACAACCCUAUAUACAGUACUCUUUAUCCAAUCUACUAACAAAACUUUUGAAGCUAUAAAGGUAAUGUUUUUCAUUCUUAUUUGCGGGCUGUCAUUCUUAUCUUUAACUAAGAUUAUAGUGAUCUUAUAAAGUCUUAUACUGUGGAUAAUUGUAGGUAUUUAGAUCUGAGAUUGUAGUGAAUAAUUAAUUAACUUUCUGUUUAAGUGUGCUUAGCAUCUCCAUUUUAUCUGACGAACCUUGUACUGAUGCACUUGUGUCUGCAUUCCAGAGGAUGUGACACCCAUCUCAAACAACCAGUACUUGCAGAAAGGGAGGAACAAACAGAGGAAGGAGAAGGUUGUGAAUAAUGUGUUUUAACACUACUUAUGUUGUGCCGUAUUGAUACUUAGCCUUAAGCAUUGUAUAUAUAUUUUUUUAUUUUUUGUGAAAUUGUAAUAUUACAAGCAUUUAUUAAUAAAAAUAUCUAAGUUUUUAUA